RNAcentral lists this long non-coding RNA (959 nucleotides) under Pan troglodytes (chimpanzee). RNAcentral's name for it is "long non-coding RNA NONPTRT014362". Lineage: Eukaryota; Metazoa; Chordata; Mammalia; Primates; Hominidae. The record is from RNAcentral.
CAUUUCCAGUCCUAUUUUAAUUCUUUAAAAAAUCUUCUUGCCUACAUUUUUCUGUGGCCCCUAAGGACAUUGUGUUGGACUGCUGAUGGCGUGUACAAUUCAAUAAGUGUCUGGUCUCUGAACUAAAAGAACAACCCUUUUGAAUUUUAGAGAUUCAGGACUCAGGAGAAGACUUCGUGGUGAGAGUUGACGUAGAAGUUGACAGCCCAAACCCCACACCAGUUCUUAGAAGUAUUGAUCUCCAAGAAAGAGCAGAAAGAGCUACAACUCCUGCUCCCAGGGACUUACAGGAUCUAAAAAAUGUGCAGCCAUUUGGACCUCAGUAUGAAGUGGUGUUAAAAGGUGAAGUCCAUUCUUUGGGAAGUAAACCUCUGCCACGUGGAUCAUGCUCAGACAUCCUAUUGAAGUUUGUCCAACAAUUUCUUGCUUUGGAAGGUGUCCCUCUUGGUGGAACACAGUUUCACCUUUUGCUGGAACUCAGAGCUACAAAUGAUGCUUAAUGUACCAACGCCUUCUGACUGAGCUCCUCUCUGCCCUGAAUACAAGAUACCCUAAUAGUUAUGUGGAAAUAUCAUCGCCCCUGUUCAGCAUGAAGAAGUUACAAAAGAUGGACCUUCAUCCUUCUGCAACCCUUAGGAUUAAGGGUCCUCUUGUAAAAGGUAGGGGAAAUACGUAAGAAGCUUUCAAACCAGAGCGACUCCAUUUUGAACAAGGGCUAAGAAAAAUGAAGCUGGGUCCUGUUGGGCUGCAUGCGCAGGAGGUUAAGCAUUCUUAGCCUCAAGAUGUUUACAAUUGAGGGAACAGAUUAAUAAUGUUUCCUAAACAGACUCAGGACUUAACAGACUCAAGAACAUCUUGAUACUUUGAGAACAAAAGCACUUCUAGUUUUAAAUACGCAUUGUACCUAGGCUGGAUGCUUUUCUUACUUUUGGAAAUGCCCUACCCUGUCUAUGAAGUCA